Molecule: long non-coding RNA, 159 nt
Organism: Amphimedon queenslandica
Lineage: Eukaryota; Metazoa; Porifera; Demospongiae; Haplosclerida; Niphatidae
Exons: 3
Source: RefSeq, a predicted model, not a curated record
CUCCUUGAGCAAACAGAAAAGGAUAAAUCAACUGUUGAAUUAGAAUAUUAUGAGAAGCUUAAAGCUAAAGAUGCUGAAAUAUUGGAAGAGAAGACACAAGUAGAGGAGAAGAAACAGAUUAUUACUGAAGAUUAUGAGAAACUUAAACUCAAAGUUGCU